UCUUAAUUACAUUGUUGCAUAAUGUCUAUUUUGCUAUGAGCACUCUGCACAGAGGGUUGUCCGGGGUGGGGUUGCUUGGCAAAGGUGAUUCAGGUACUUUCCUGCAGUCACCAGUAGAUGCAUUCUCCUGUCUGUCAGAGAUGAGAUCACUUGGUACUGUCUUUUUCUGAGGUCU
Thalassophryne amazonica is the source of this 175-nucleotide long non-coding RNA. RefSeq lists it as uncharacterized. The record is from RefSeq and is a predicted model, not a curated record. The transcript is spliced from 3 exons. NCBI's taxonomy places the organism in Eukaryota, Metazoa, Chordata, Actinopteri, Batrachoidiformes, Batrachoididae.